Equus caballus (horse) is the source of this 4082-nucleotide long non-coding RNA. NCBI's taxonomy places the organism in Eukaryota, Metazoa, Chordata, Mammalia, Perissodactyla, Equidae. The record is from Ensembl.
CUUCGUGUCCCUGUUGCCUGCAUUCUAUCACUGUGUCCCCUUCUGGAUAAAUUGAUGUCAUUGGUGUAAAAAUAUCAGAGCUGAAAAUAAACCUUUCCCAGCCACGGGCGGUAGGCUUCCUGAGGACCAAUUUCCUGGCAGAGAAUGAACUGCCUCAUCUUCUAUUGAUCUGAGACACCGUGGGCGGGACAGAGCCACGAAGGCACGUGAGAAAGGCAGGAAAACAGAUGACCGGUGCGGCGUUUCCAACUCCGUGUGAGAGAAUUGGGAUUCAGAGACGGGAGGCUCCUCCCCGUGGAAGCGUUCUCCCAGGGAGGCUGCAGGCUCUUCAUCCCGAGGCGAGAACACGCAAGCGGUCACUUCUGCGAGACGUCACAGGGUGAUAUCAACCCUGAUGUCCCCCAUCAGCCUCAGGACUCGCUCAGGACUCGUGUGUGCUCCUGCCGAGUCCCCUCUGACAUUGCUCCUCACUCAGGAAGAUGGGGAUUCCUGUGAAGGUCAAGACCCAAGAAAGGAGGUCUGAACGUGUCGCUAACGGGAACACGCAGGGGGGUGUUCAGGAACAGCAGCCUGUCCAGUUGGAGUCUGUGUGACUGCGGAGGGGGCCGCCUGACCUGCCCAGCCUGGUCUCUCUUAGUCCAGUCGCUGCACUCGAGCACGGAGCUCCCUGACUGAGUGACUCUCUUCAUCUUGUUUCCUUCCAUGUAGAUGCUGGAGGAGAAAAGCUACUUCUCUGGCUGUUUUACAAUAUAGUGCAUUACCAGAAAAUGUGAGGUUCAGGGGUGCCGACAGGUGAGGAGACGACAGCCAUUGAAGAGAUGGCUUCUUACCCACAGAUCCCAAGGAAAGGGGGCACGCCACACCAUGGGGGCCACACAAGGAAACCUUCCAGGUAAAUGUGAAGCAUUUGAACAUCCAGUUACAACCCCACAAGGCGACCUGAAAACUCUCCUCCGAGGCUGCAAGACACCCGCUCGCUCUCUCCAGACGCUCUUCUCCUGAUCUCUGCUGGCACCGACUCCACCUCCCUCCCUGCUUGUCUCCAAGCAACGACGUUUACCGAGCACCACCUGUCUGCCUCGCCUUCGUUCCCGUCAGCACUGGAGAUACAGCACUAAACAGGCAGGCACAGCUCCUGACCUCACGCGGCUCGGGGUCAAAUGAGAGAAAGAUAAUCGUGCAAGCAGCUCAGUCUACCCGCCACGAGGAGGGGCAGCAACAGGAGCGAGCAGUGCAACAGGAGCACAUGGGGUCCUCGGCUGUGAGCUUUUGGGUUACGAGUUAUUGGUCACCAAUGGGUACGUCACUUCAUAUGCUCCGGCAGAGGGGACCCUGUCUUCUGUUCAGUCUUUGAGAAGAAGGUCUCUGAAGCACUGAGCACAAUAAGGAAGUGUGUGUCCUGGUUUGCUGGCACCCAUCCCACCACCACGAAGGCAGCCAGCCUUAUGACAGAGACCGCUGUGCAGAAGACAGCUGGGAGGUGACGCAACCAGGCCGCGGCUCAGCCCUUGAUAAGAGUCGACCCUCACUUUGAACUCUUCGGUUACGUGAGCCCAUAAAUGUCCUAAGUUGUCCAAUUUAUGAUGGUUUUCUGUGCUUGCAAUUGACAGCAUCUUAACUGACUCAUUAGAAGGAACAGCGGAAUGGAAAGAACAUUCUAGAGGUGAUGUACAGAUGUGACGAGAGAAGGUGAAGCACUCAGCAUGGCUGGAGGACAGAGAGGGAGGGAGAAGUCAGGGGAGGUAAGGGUGCAGGACUGUGAAAGACCCUGUCUGCCAUCUUGUCCUGGAGCAGUGGGGACCUGCCCAGGGCUUUAUUCGGGGGAGCUGUGUAAUGACUUUGCCUUGCGGGGGGUCACCUUGGCUGGGGUGGUUAGAAGGACAAGACCGGAGAGAAGGAUACUGGUCGAAGGCGGCAUUAAAAAAUCACAAGUUCUCAAACUUUUUGGCCCUGGGACCCCUCUACACUCAAAAAUUACUGAGGACCUAAAAAACUUUUGUUUUUGUGAUUAUAUCUACCCAACAUUUGCCAAAUUAGAAGUUAAGAUAGAAAUUAAAAAAUAUUUAUUUCAUUAAAAUAACAAUUAUUAAUCCACUUCAUAUUAAAGCAGCACAUUUUUAUGAAAACAUAACUAUAUUUUCAGAAACCAAAAAAGCUUUAGAGAAAAAGGGGGUAUUGCUUUACAUUUCUGCAAAUCUCAUUAAUGUGUGUCCUACCGGAAGGCGGGGGGAGUCUUAUCUGCUCUCGUGAUCAGUCUGCUGUGAGUGUUUUUGGUUUAAGUAAACAAAGAAAAUCUGACACAGAUACGCAGUGGGAAAAGGUAGGGGUAUUUUAAUAGUCUUCUCAGACAACUGUGCAUAUUCUUUGAUACUACCCCAAAAUUCAACAAGUGGUAGUUUCUUAAAGCUGAGCUAAGUAGAAUCAGAAACCAUAUUAGUAAACUCAUAUUCUUUUUUUUUUUAAAGAUUUUAUUUUCCUUUUUCUCUCCAAAGCCCCCAGGUACAUAGUAGUGUACUUUUAGUUGUGGUUCCUUCCAGUUGUGGCAUGUGGACACUGCCCCAGCAUGGCCUGAUGAGCGGUGCCAUGUCUACGCCCAGGAUGCGAACUGGUGAAACCCUGGGCCGCUGGAGCAGAGCACAUGAACUUACUUGACCACUCGGCCACAGGGCCGGCCCCUAAACUCAUAUUCUGUUGUAUUAAAAUUCAUCCAUCUAUCUUUCCCUUUGAGUGGCUUUUGCCCACGCUUGAUUAUGACCUUGCAGACACCCUGAAAGCAUCUCGGACCCGGGGGUGGUCCCUGGAUCACUCCCUGAGAAUCAUUGCGGUAUAUCAAAGAAGCUAUGGCAGGGACCUGAAUGAGGGAGGUGGUGGAGAGGACGUGAAAGGAAAGGCGGGGUGUGCUGAGAGAUGGUAGACGUGGCAUGGCGGCGGAAUGGGGACAGAUGUGACUUAGGAGAAGAGGAAGAGAUGCCUCACCAGCUUCUUGCCUGGGUGCAUGAUGGGGCCAUUCAUGGAAAAUAGAACACAGGGAGAGAAUCGGGUUUGGACAAAAUGAGGGCGAUCUUUUGGGAAUGUUGGAAUUGGGGUGCUUAUCAGACAUCCCAGAGAACAUGGAUAGUCUGUCUAUGACACAGUCUUGAGUUGAAAGUCAGCAGCAUAUAAGCUGAUAAUUAAAGCCAGAGAGUAGGUGAAGUACCCUGAGGAGAGUUUGUAGAGAGAGAAGAGAGGAGCACUGAGAGCAGAAACCUAUAAAGUAUUAACAUUUAGGGGACAAGAAGAGGAAGAGGCAGUCCCAGUGAGGAUGGACACGAGGAAGAAAAAUCAGGAAGAUGCCAUGCCAAGGAAGGCAAGGAAGGCAAGGGGAGGCUUCAUGAAGAAGAGUGGCCACUGGUGCUGCAGAUGGUUCAGUAAGACAAGAGCCAACGCGCCUGCCGAGUUUAGAGCAUGGACCCACUGGCGAUGUCGGCAGAUCGCGGGGCUGGGAACUGUAGAAGUCAGGAUUCUCCCUCCCACCCUUCCACCUUUCAUACCGCUUGUCUUUGUUGAGCACCUGCUGUGUGUCAGGGGUAUAAUAUUGAACAUACUCCUCACUUUCAUGGGGAUUAUAGUCAGUGUUGCGGGGAAGGCAGAAAAUAAUCAAGUAAACCAAUGUAUGGGCUUAUGAUCCUAUGGCAAUCCUCGAAUGAAUUCUAAGGUAGAGAAGACAAAUUCACACUCUCUCAUGUUCAACGCUAAGAUCCAAAACGCUCUGAAAACCAAAAAUUUUUCAUAACUCAUUUGGCAGCAAAAACUAUAGUAAUAUACUGUAUUAUCCUCUUAAAAUCUGGAAACUUCUGAAUUCCUAACAAAUCCACAAGAUGAGAGAUCAUGGACCUGUCUUAGCUCCAUUUUACAGAUAAGGACACAAGACACAGAAAGGUUAAGUAACUUCUUCACAUUCACACAGCCACACUAGGCUACCACACUAGGCUGACUCCCUACUGGGAUAUCCAAUAUCAAGUAAAGUAGUACAUCCACCCACCCAUCCAUCCACCCACCCAUUCAUCCAUGCAUCCAUGCAACCAUCCAGCCAGCCAGCCAGC